AGGGGCCUCCCUCGCCAGGGACCCGGCGCCGUCUUCCUCACGCAGGCCUGUGUUCCUCGCAGCGGCAGCUCACGCCACCAGCCUCAGAGCCCGCCUCCCGCCUGUCUCCGCCAGCCGGUGCCUCCCGCUGACACCCGCCCCGGACGCCUGCCGCCACCACCGCCCUCCGCCGCCUUCGCCAACGCUCACUGACGCCCAGCGCUCUCCGCUGCCAGAUGCCCUCAGACUCCUGCCGCCGCCACCAGAGGCCCUCUUGCCAGGGACCCGGCUCCCUUGUUCUCACGCAGGCCUCGCCAACUUGCAGCAGCCUCAGCUCAUAGUCUCCACAGGGAACAACUUCAUCUCUCUGAACUCAACUAAUGAAAGUUCUACUUGAUCCAUUUCUGCAAACAUCUGCUGCUCUCUACCUCCAGGGUCACACGAGGCAGAAGGACCCAGAGCGGAGGCGCCUGUAGGGCCUUGGUUCCAGGACGGGACAGCUUGCGACAGGGUCCCCGUGAGGAGCACACCCCCUUUGUGCCCCGAAUGCAGAGGAGGAGGCUGGGCCGCCGCUUCUCCAGGCCUUUGACCUUCACCUGCAGACCAGAGCCUUCCCUUCUGUGCCAUCCCCCGUGGCUGACUCUACGUCUUCAGGUAAGGAGACUU
Manis pentadactyla (Chinese pangolin) is the source of this 645-nucleotide long non-coding RNA. RefSeq lists it as uncharacterized. The transcript has 4 exons. The record is from RefSeq and is a predicted model, not a curated record. NCBI's taxonomy places the organism in Eukaryota, Metazoa, Chordata, Mammalia, Pholidota, Manidae.